This is a long non-coding RNA of Nannospalax galili (Upper Galilee mountains blind mole rat), 1720 nucleotides long. RefSeq lists it as uncharacterized. The transcript is spliced from 4 exons. The record is from RefSeq and is a predicted model, not a curated record. NCBI's taxonomy places the organism in Eukaryota, Metazoa, Chordata, Mammalia, Rodentia, Spalacidae.
UUGUCAGCUCGCCAGCCCCCAAGGCCUCUCUCAGGCCUCUGAGCUAGGAAAUUAGGAAGAGAGCUGGGUGGGGAGCUCUUCCUUCUGGGGGUGGCCUAUUCCUGGACCCAAAGCCUCAAUGAAUGGCUGGGUGAUCUUGGUCCUCACAUCUGGUUAGAGCUGGCUCUGACCUAGAGCAGAGCCGCCCACAGACACUUCCUGGGGAAAACGAGCUGGCGUCUCUAUAAAUCUCCUGCACCCCUGUGCCAGCUUCCCGGCCAGGAUGACAGCUGAGACAGGCGUGUCCCUCUGUUUGCCAAGGACAACAGCCGACUGUGGAGAGGCAUGGAGUCUAUUACCCCACUAAUGUGACAGUUGUGACUGAACGUCAUGUUCUAGAGCUCUGGAAUGAGGAAAACAGCGUUGCUCGGAAGACAGACAGGGAGACACUGGAACGUUUGCCAUGUGGUUGCCAUGAACCAGGAAGGGCUGCGAGGGGAGGCAACAUCCAGAGGCCUUGCCCUGCUGUCCUGCCUACACCUCCCCACCAGGAUCCUUUGCUCCCCUCUCCACUGGGCAUUAGGUUUUAUCAGUGUGUUUCUACCUGUGAGCCAUAGCCAGCAAGCCUACCUCAUGCAAUCCUGACCCUGUGUACUCCUAACCCUCACACCUCUUACCACAUGUCCCCAACUCCUCUUUCUCCUGACCCUGCACACUCCUGACUCUGCUCAUCCUUGAUCCUCACUUACUUUUGACCCCCACUAAACCUUAACCCUACUCACCUCUGGCACUGCUCAUCCCUGACCCCACUCACCCCUGUCCCCAAUCAUCCUUGGGUCCACUCCCCCCGUCCCCACUCACCCCUAUCCCUGCUCACCCCGACACAAGCUCAUCCCUGACACUGCCCACCCCUGACUCACCCCUAAUACUAAUUACUCCUGAUCCUGUCCACCCCUCACCCCACUCUCCCUGGCCGCACUCUCUACUGUCCCCACUCAUCCCUGACCCCUGGCUCUCCCAGGCCCCAGGCAGAGCUCAGUCUCUACAAACUGAGAUCAGUUCUAUUUUCUGGGUUUCUGGUACUCAUGGUGGACACUGGAGGCUCCUGCGCGGAAACAGAAUCAGCUUUGGCUUCGAAGGAAAGUUGAAGAUGGAGUGGGAGCUUUAGGGACUCAGACCAGGCCUUCUGUCAUCCCUCCUCAUUAAGGUGCCUCUUGCCCCUGUCGCCUGGACAACAUGCUGUCCUUCACUAUCCCUCCUUCCUCCAUCGUAUAUGGGUUUGUGUGAAAGCUGGAACUGGCAGAGUUCAUCAUCUUAUGCCCCCAGGAAGCCAGCCACCCAGGGGGACACCCUCAGGAUUGCUGGGCAGUAAUCCCAUAACCUCCUCUGCUGGGUGAGUGGUGGGUCCCUGUCUGGUCCCAGUCCCAGUAGGACCAAGUGAGCUGGUGCCCAGCACCUUGGUCACCCAAGUGACCUUUCUCUGUCCCACACUCACCCCCUCCUGGUACCAACUCUUCCCAAACACUCUGUGUUCUCAGCCUCCACAAAAUGAUCUGGAAGAUGAUAGCCAUGCCUAAAACCCCAUAGAGGCUGAGGAAUCAAGGCCACUAUGUGCACAAAACAGGGACCUUGAUGAGCAGAGGGGAUCCUGACUGUUGGCACCCCAAGGCCUGUGUCCUCACUGGCCAGAGGAUACCAGAGCUUGGAAGCUGCAGAAGUGGAAAAUAAGGCUUGCCUGCCU